This 202-nucleotide long non-coding RNA is filed under the name Elaeis guineensis (African oil palm). Its description in RNAcentral is "long non-coding RNA (EGUI_LNC035385)". The record is from RNAcentral. Lineage: Eukaryota; Viridiplantae; Streptophyta; Magnoliopsida; Arecales; Arecaceae.
AUUCUAAGAUGGAAUAGGAAUGAUCCAAUUUAUAUAGAACUUAAUCUCUAUUAUCCUCUAUGGAUUCAAAUUUUCAUUCCGAUUUCGAUUCCGAUUCCGAUUCUGAUCACAAACUAAGCGUUUCGAAAAAUUUAGCCAUUUCAAUUCUGAUUUCAAGUCAUUUCAAUUUCCAUUUCUAUUUCGAUUCUGAUCACGAACCAAG